Nothoprocta perdicaria is the source of this 168-nucleotide long non-coding RNA. RefSeq lists it as uncharacterized. The transcript is spliced from 2 exons. NCBI's taxonomy places the organism in Eukaryota, Metazoa, Chordata, Aves, Tinamiformes, Tinamidae. The record is from RefSeq and is a predicted model, not a curated record.
GGCACGCAUCAAGAAGAUCAUGCAGACGGACGAGGAGAUCGGGAAGGUGGCGGCCGCCGUCCCCGUCAUCAUCUCGCGGGCGCUCGAGCUCUUCCUGGCCGCGCUGCUCCGCCGCGCCUGUCACGUGACCCAGGCCCGCAACGCCAAGACCAUGACCACCGCCCACCU